GAAAUUGUGAGCGGUCUUAUCAAUACAAAAAUGUAUAACCCCGGAAUUUCAAUUGUGCUUAUAUCCAUCAUUGUAGGACUUGGGUUCAAGCUUUCCUUAAUCCCUUUUCGUCAAUGGACUCCUGACGUCUAUGAAGGAGUGCGGUUCGCUUGACAAAUUCACCUCUAUAUCUAUCUCUGAGGUGUUUGGGUUUUACAGAAAUCCAUAGACAUGCAGAAGAGAAAUGCUAUCUCCACUCCGACCCAGAUAUAACAUUUACCAAAAGUUUACUGUGAUCCUGUUGUUUAAAUAACAAUUAAGGUGAAGCAGGGUAAGGAACAACGGAUCUCUUUAUGA
This 336-nucleotide ribosomal RNA is filed under the name Triticum aestivum (bread wheat). RNAcentral describes it as "partial small subunit ribosomal RNA". Lineage: Eukaryota; Viridiplantae; Streptophyta; Magnoliopsida; Poales; Poaceae. The record is from RNAcentral.